This is a non-coding RNA of Triticum urartu, 1051 nucleotides long. The record is from RefSeq and is a predicted model, not a curated record. Lineage: Eukaryota; Viridiplantae; Streptophyta; Magnoliopsida; Poales; Poaceae.
AAAAAUAGCCCAGCCGCCGCACCACCCUGCCUCCUCGAUCCCAUCUUCACCUCCAGCCCGCCGCCACCUCCUGCCCCGCUCCGCUUCGCCGUGCGCCGCCCGUCCCCGCCGCCGCCACCUCCUGCUCCGCCCCGCCCCGCGACCCCUGCCGCCGCCACUUCCCGCCCCGCCCUGCCGCGCGCGGCCCCUCUUCUCCAUCUCUCCCUCGCCAUCUCCCUCCCCCCUCCCUGUUCCACCCCCACCCCUACUCCCAGCAGGCUCAACCAUGGUGGUCAACACGGGGACGUGAGCGUGCACGGGUGGCGCCGGUGGACGAGAUCAAAAUCGGUUGAUGAUGGAGCGCAAGUAGCACAAGUUAAUCAUGUGCACUUCCCAUUAUUGAAUAUCAGAUAUGCCAAACUAAAGGAGGCGGCUAGAGGAAGCAUUGGAGGCCAAGUUCAGCAGCAACGGUCAGCUGUCGUCGGUGGCCGGCCGGCGACAUUUGCGAAGGAAUGAGGGUGGCUGGAGACCGACAACAGGGGGCUGUCGAACUAGCCAAGCUACCAUCACUCCAUCAUCCCCGGAGAUCGUUCGGUGAUGUCCAAUGCAUCAUGUCAUGGAUUGGAGCGCGGACUGCCCUGCGCAAGUAGGUUAUGUGCUUGAGACGAUUGAAUGUCCGAUAAUAUGAUAAACCUGCAGCGAACAGCAGCUCCAAACUCCAUUGCUUGAUCUCAAGAUAGCUCUAUUAAAUCUCUUGAUGGUAUAACAGGACAUUAGCAGGAAUUCCUGAUGACUGAGGAAAUUAUGGCAGACAUUCUUGAUGGUAUAUUAAAUCUUGGUUUGAUGGGUACUUUUCUGAAGAAACUAUUGAGUCCCAGGCGGAUCAACUUAUUUUCACGUCAGGUUUUAGGUGUUUCCAAGCUAGGCUGCGAUUUCUUCUUCAGAAGACCACACCGCGGGCAUUAUCUUAAGUGGACCAUUGACCUGCAAUUUUUGCCUUUCGCAUGUACAGGCUUAUUAUGUGUGGAUUUUGAAAGCUAUUUCUACAUAUUCUAUCUCCUUUGAGACUAAA